CUCUCGGUAGCCAAGUUGGUUUAAGGCGCAAGACUGUAAUAAUCACUACGAAAUCUUGAGAUCGGGCGUUCGACUCGCCCCCGGGAGA
This 88-nucleotide transfer RNA is filed under the name Saccharomyces cerevisiae (brewer's yeast). It matches the Rfam family "tRNA". From Rfam's summary of the family: Transfer RNA (tRNA) molecules are approximately 80 nucleotides in length. The record is from RNAcentral. Lineage: Eukaryota; Fungi; Ascomycota; Saccharomycetes; Saccharomycetales; Saccharomycetaceae.